GAUGAACGCUGGCGGCGUGCUUAACACAUGCAAGUCGAACGAUGAAGCCCAGCUUGCUGGGUGGAUUAGUGGCGAACGGGUGAGUAACACGUGAGUAACCUGCCCUUAACUCUGGGAUAAGCCUGGGAAACUGGGUCUAAUACCGGAUAGGAGCGUCCACCGCAUGGUGGGUGUUGGAAAGAUUUAUCGGUUUUGGAUGGACUCGCGGCCUAUCAGCUUGUUGGUGAGGUAAUGGCUCACCAAGGCGACGACGGGUAGCCGGCCUGAGAGGGUGACCGGCCACACUGGGACUGAGACACGGCCCAGACUCCUACGGGAGGCAGCAGUGGGGAAUAUUGCACAAUGGGCGAAAGCCUGAUGCAGCGACGCCUCGUGAGGGAUGACGGCCUUCGGGUUGUAAACCUCUUUCAUUAUGGAAGAAGCGAAAGUGACGGUACCUGCAGAAGAAGCACCGGUUAAUUACUUGCCAUCAGCCGCUUGCAAUACGUAUGGUGCGAGCGUUAUCCGGAAUUACUGGGCGUAAAGAGUCUCGUAGGCGGUUUGUCGCGUCUGUCGUGAAAGUCCGGGGCUCAACCCCGGAUCUGCGGUGGGUACGGGCAGACUAGAGUGCAGUAGGGGAGACUGGAAUUCCUGGUGUAGCGGUGGAAUGCGCAGAUAUCAGGAGGAACACCGAUGGCGAAGGCAGGUCUCUGGGCUGUAACUGACGCUGAGGAGCGAAAGCAUGGGGAGCGAACAGGAUUAGAUACCCUGGUAGUCCAUGCCGUAAACGUUGGGCACUAGGUGUGGGGACCGUUCCACGGUUUCCGCGCCGCAGCUAACGCAUUAAGUGCCCCGCCUGGGGAGUACGGCCGCAAGGCUAAAACUCAAAGGAAUUGACGGGGGCCCGCACAAGCGGCGGAGCAUGCGGAUUAAUUCGAUGCAACGCGAAGAACCUUACCAAGGCUUGACAUGUUCUCGAUCGCCGUAGAGAUACGGUUUCCCCUUUGGGGCGGGUUCACAGGUGGUGCAUGGUUGUCGUCAGCUCGUGUCGUGAGAUGUUGGGUUAAGUCCCGCAACGAGCGCAACCCUCGUUCCAUGUUGCCAGCACGUAAUGGUGGGGACUCAUGGGAGACUGCCGGGGUCAACUCGGAGGAAGGUGAGGACGACGUCAAAUCAUCAUGCCCCUUAUGUCUUGGGCUUCACGCAUGCUACAAUGGCCGGUACAAUGGGUUGCGAUACUGUGAGGUGGAGCUAAUCCCAAAAAGCCGGUCUCAGUUCGGAUUGGGGUCUGCAACUCGACCCCAUGAAGUCGGAGUCGCUAGUAAUCGCAGAUCAGCAACGCUGCGGUGAAUACGUUCCCGGGCCU
This 1345-nucleotide ribosomal RNA is filed under the name uncultured bacterium. Its description in RNAcentral is "bacterial SSU rRNA". It matches the Rfam family "Bacterial small subunit ribosomal RNA", at positions 28 to 1381 of the family's 1533-position model. The record is from RNAcentral.